This is an unclassified non-coding RNA of Macaca mulatta (Rhesus monkey), 148 nucleotides long. It matches the Rfam family "Metazoan signal recognition particle RNA". From Rfam's summary of the family: The signal recognition particle (SRP) is a universally conserved ribonucleoprotein. It is involved in the co-translational targeting of proteins to membranes. The record is from Ensembl. Lineage: Eukaryota; Metazoa; Chordata; Mammalia; Primates; Cercopithecidae.
GCCGGGCGUGGUGGUGCACGCCUGUAAUCCCAGCUACUCGGGAGGUUGAGGCAGGAGAAUCGUUUGAACCCGGGAGGCGUAGGGUGCAGUGAGCUGAGAUCGCACCACUGCACUCUGGCCUGGACGACAGAGCAAGACUCUGCCUCAA